This 235-nucleotide long non-coding RNA is filed under the name Elaeis guineensis (African oil palm). RNAcentral's name for it is "long non-coding RNA (EGUI_LNC021206)". Lineage: Eukaryota; Viridiplantae; Streptophyta; Magnoliopsida; Arecales; Arecaceae. The record is from RNAcentral.
CCCAAGCUAAUCUCUCUGAAGAGAUCGAGGGUGCUGUACACAGCUUAUCUGUAGAGGAGUAUCAGACCCUCCGACGAAUGAUGAAAAAGUAUGAAUCAUCUUCUAACACCACACCUUCUACUCUAGAACAGUCUAGCCACCAGAACGGAUAUCUUGAUUCUUCUCUUUUUGCACACUCAGGUACUCUAUAUAAAUUAUCACAUGCAUUUACUUGCGGAACAUCCAACUCUUGGGU